AUCUACAGAACUCAUGGCUGCAGCUAAGGACUCCCUUACAGAUCAAGCUCGCCUCAAAGCUGUAACAACUAAGGAAUCUGGUGCCUGGCUCAACGCACUUCCCGUUGCUUCGUUGGGAACAUUAUCAGACGACGAAAGUUUCAGAAUUUCAAUAGAAGAACCCGAAUACCUAAGCGUGUUGGACCAUUUUUUCAUCUGUUCGUGUGUGUUCAUCAUGGCUAUGUGGCAUUAUGUUUGAAUAAAAAGAGAGAUUUGACCAAUAUAACGGAUCAGAGGGUACUCGAUAUGGAAGUAUUCGCACCAUUAUUUUUCACUUCAUGGAAUUUCCUCAUUCAACUGGUUUACUUCACUUCUGCUUUGAUGUACGAUAUUCUUCAUAUGUUAUCGAUAAGGCGAGAUAUCCAAGAAAAAAUGUUAAGGUAUAAAGGAUAUAUUUUCACCAGUUCCUUAUUUCCAUUCUCGGUAUUCGUUUCGACAAUGUUUUGGAGCUUAUACAACAUCAACAGAGAGUUUGUUCUUCCAGAAGUUUUGGAUAAAUAUAUUCCAACCUGGCUCAACCAUUGUUUACAUACAAAUAUUCUGAUAUUUGCCGCAAUAGAAAUGUUGAUUGCCAAUCAACUCCUUCCUACUUUCAUUUCUGCUUUUUUCGGACUGAAUGUGAUUGUGAUCUCCUAUCAUACUCUGUUAAUUCUAACUUACUUUUGGAUAGGAAGGUGGCCCUAUGGACUGUUUUAUAUAUUCACAUGGCCUGAGAGAAUAACUUUCUUCUUCUCCUACUAUCUUUUCACCGUUUGGAUGAUGAAAGUUGGCAUGACAAUACAGAAUUUCAAACAAAGAGUUUCCAUCAAAAAGUCGGAAAGAUGUAAAACUUCUUAACGUGGGCAGCAAUGCUUAUUAAAUCUAAUUUUUUUGGAAUAACGUUGAGAGUAUUUCCAUUUCACAAUAUGUUAAAAUUUUUUGUUAUUUUCAAAUUGCACUUUGCUCAUUCCUAAUUUUAAAGAGCUGUACAAUUAACUUCUCUAGUAUGGCUUUGGUAUAUUCGAGUGGAACUAGCGUAGGAGUAAAAUUGGACAGCAAUAGAUUAUUCAGUUAAUAAUAAGCCUAGGCCGUUUGAACUUGACUUAUCACACCCAAAGAAUUUACAAUCCCCCAUUAGAUUCCUAUAACACACAUUACGUGUUAUAUUAUUUAGUGAGAUACUGAUUUAUUUAUAGAAGUAGAGACGAUUAUAUCGUCAUUUUUCAGAAUACCAUUUCAAAGAACAGGUUUCAUCCAUGAAAGUGGGUUUGUACUCAUAGUAUUUUCAAACCGAUUCAUAAAAAAUCAAAUGAAAUAAUUUUAUUACUGUAGGUUAUUCAAUUAUUCAUUAACGACUUCAUUCAAUAUCACAAAAAUAUAACUUGUAACAGAUGUAAUCAUUCUUAAAAAACCUUCAGACUCAGAUGAUACUUUUUCACUUCAGAUUUCUCGAUCAUCACCUAGAAAAACGAUAGGUGAACAUAUGGGUUAAGGGACUUUUUUUUCUCGAAGGUCAAACAGUUUCAACCAAUGAAUAAAAACUAUAAUCAUACUACCUAUUUAUUUUUUAUUUAUUUUAUUUACAGACCAUGGCUCAGUUUCAGAGUAGGAAAGGUAUAUAUCACAAAUAGAUUUGUACAUACAACAAAAUGAGAAACAAAAUAAAAAAAAAAUAAUCAACAAGA
This is a long non-coding RNA of Leptinotarsa decemlineata (Colorado potato beetle), 1703 nucleotides long. NCBI's taxonomy places the organism in Eukaryota, Metazoa, Arthropoda, Insecta, Coleoptera, Chrysomelidae. The record is from RefSeq and is a predicted model, not a curated record.